UGGGGAAUAUUGCACAAUGGGCGCAAGCCUGAUGCAGCCAUGCCGCGUGUAUGAAGAAGGCCUUCGGGUUGUAAAGUACUUUCAGCGGGGAGGAAGGUGUUGUGGUUAAUAACCACAGCAAUUGACGUUACCCGCAGAAGAAGCACCGGCUAACUCCGUGCCAGCAGCCGCGGUAAUACGGAGGGUGCAAGCGUUAAUCGGAAUUACUGGGCGUAAAGCGCACGCAGGCGAUCUGUCAAGUCGGAUGUGAAAUCCCCGGGCUCAACCUGGGAACUGCAUUCGAAACUGGCAGGCUUGAGUCUUGUAGAGGGGGGUAGAAUUCCAGGUGUAGCGGUGAAGUGCGUAGAAAUCUGGAGGAAUACCGGUGG
Molecule: ribosomal RNA, 368 nt
Filed under: uncultured Salmonella sp.
Lineage: Bacteria; Pseudomonadati; Pseudomonadota; Gammaproteobacteria; Enterobacterales; Enterobacteriaceae
Description: bacterial SSU rRNA
Rfam family: Bacterial small subunit ribosomal RNA
Source: RNAcentral